UACGAAGGGUGCAAGCGUUACUCGGAAUUACUGGGCGUAAAGGGUGCGUAGGUGGUUUUUUAAGUCCGUUGUGAAAUCCCUGGGCUCAACCUGGGGAUGGCAGUGGAUACUGGAAAGCUAGAGUGCGGUAGAGGGUAGUGGAAUUCCCGGUGUAGCAGUGAAAUGCGUAGAGAUCGGGAGGAACACCAGUGGCGAAGGCGGCUACCUGGACCAGCACUGACACUGAGGCACGAAAGCGUGGGGAGCAAACAGG
Molecule: ribosomal RNA, 253 nt
Filed under: uncultured bacterium
Lineage: Bacteria
Description: partial 16S ribosomal RNA
Rfam family: Bacterial small subunit ribosomal RNA
Source: RNAcentral